UACGAAGGGGGCUAGCGUUGCUCGGAUUGACUGGGCGUAAAGGGCGCGUAGGCGGUUCGUACAGUCAGACGUGAAAUUCCUGGGCUCAACCUGGGGGCUGCGUUUGAUACGUGCGGACUUGAGUGCGGAAGAGGGUCGUGGAAUUCCCAGUGUAGAGGUGAAAUUCGUAGAUAUUGGGAAGAACACCGGUGGCGAAGGCGGCGACCUGGUCCGAUACUGACGCUGAGGCGUGAAAGCGUGGGGAGCAAACAGG
RNAcentral lists this ribosomal RNA (253 nucleotides) under uncultured bacterium. RNAcentral's name for it is "partial 16S ribosomal RNA". It matches the Rfam family "Bacterial small subunit ribosomal RNA", at positions 524 to 776 of the family's 1533-position model. The record is from RNAcentral.